ACGUAGGGGGCAAGCGUUGUUCGGAAUUACUGGGCGUAAAGGGCAUGUAGGCGGCCUUGUAAGCUUGGCGUGAAAGUCCACGGCUUAACCGUGGGAUUGCGUUGAGAACUGCGAGGCUUGAGUGACGGAGAGGGAGAUAGAAUUCCUGGUGUAGAGGUGGAAUCCGUAGAGAUGAGGAAGAAUACCAGUGGCGAAGGCAUGCUCCUGGCCUAGGACUGACGCUGAGGUGCGAAAGUGUGGGGAUCAAACAG
RNAcentral lists this ribosomal RNA (251 nucleotides) under uncultured prokaryote. RNAcentral describes it as "partial 16S rRNA". It matches the Rfam family "Bacterial small subunit ribosomal RNA", at positions 525 to 775 of the family's 1533-position model. The record is from RNAcentral.